GUCGCGACUCCUACGGGAGGCAGCAGUGGGGAAUAUUGCACAAUGGGCGCAAGCCUGAUGCAGCCAUGCCGCGUGUAUGAAGAAGGCCUUCGGGUUGUAAAGUACUUUCAGCAGUGAGGAAGGUGGGUAUGUUAAUAGCAUACUCAUUUGACGUUAGCUGCAGAAGAAGCACCGGCUAACUCCGUGCCAGCAGCCGCGGUAAUACGGAGGGUGCGAGCGUUAAUCGGAAUUACUGGGCGUAAAGCGCAUGCAGGUGGUUUGUUAAGUCAGAUGUGAAAGCCCGGGGCUCAACCUCGGAAUUGCAUUUGAAAACUGGCAAACUAGAGUACUGUAGAGGGGGUAGAAUUUCAGGUGUAGCGGUGAAAUGCGUAGAGAUCUGAAGGAAUACCGGUGGCGAAGGCGGCCCCCUGGACAGAUACUGACACUCAGAUGCGAAAGCGUGGGGAGCAAACAGGAUUAGAUACCCUGGUAG
RNAcentral lists this ribosomal RNA (472 nucleotides) under uncultured bacterium. RNAcentral's name for it is "bacterial SSU rRNA". It matches the Rfam family "Bacterial small subunit ribosomal RNA", at positions 329 to 793 of the family's 1533-position model. The record is from RNAcentral.